RNAcentral lists this ribosomal RNA (497 nucleotides) under uncultured bacterium. Its description in RNAcentral is "partial 16S ribosomal RNA". It matches the Rfam family "Bacterial small subunit ribosomal RNA", at positions 28 to 507 of the family's 1533-position model. The record is from RNAcentral.
GAUGAACGCUGGCGGCGUGCCUAAUACAUGCAAGUCGAGCGAACAGACGAGGAGCUUGCUCCUCUGACGUUAGCGGCGGACGGGUGAGUAACACGUGGAUAACCUACCUAUAAGACUGGGAUAACUUCGGGAAACCGGAGCUAAUACCGGAUAAUAUAUUGAACCGCAUGGUUCAAUAGUGAAAGACGGUUUUGCUGUCACUUAUAGAUGGAUCCGCGCCGCAUUAGCUAGUUGGUAAGGUAACGGCUUACCAAGGCAACGAUGCGUAGCCGACCUGAGAGGGUGAUCGGCCACCCUGGAACUGAGACUCGGCCCCGACUCCUACGGGAGGCCGCAGUAGGGAAUCUUCCGCAAUGGGCGAAAGCCUGACGGAGCAACGCCGCGUGAGUGAUGAAGGUCUUCGGAUCGUAAAACUCUGUUAUUAGGGGAGAACAAAUGUGUAAGUAACUAUGCACGUCUUGACGGUACCUAAUCAGAAAGCCCCGGCUAACUACGUG